AGCGAACGCUGGCGGCAGGCUUAACACAUGCAAGUCGAGCGGGCCCUCCGGGGUCAGCGGCGGACGGGUGAGUAACGCGUGGGAACGUGCCCUCUGGUUCGGAAUAACUCAGGGAAACUUGAGCUAAUACCGGAUACGCCCUUAUGGGGAAAGGUUUACUGCCUGACGAUCGGCCCGCGUCAGAUUAGCUUGUUGGUGGGGUAACGGCCUACCAAGGCGACGAUCAGUAGCUGGUCUGAGAGGAUGAUCAGCCACACUGGGACUAAGACACGGCCCAGACUCCUACGGGAGGCAGCAGUGGGGAAUAUUGGACAAUGGGCGCAAUCCUGAUCCAGCCAUGCCGCGUGAGUGAUGAUGGCCGUAGAGUUGUAAAGCUCUUUUAUCCGUGACGAUAAUGACGGUACCGGAGGAAUAAGCCCCGGCUAACUUCGUG
RNAcentral lists this ribosomal RNA (433 nucleotides) under uncultured bacterium. RNAcentral's name for it is "partial 16S ribosomal RNA". It matches the Rfam family "Bacterial small subunit ribosomal RNA", at positions 29 to 507 of the family's 1533-position model. The record is from RNAcentral.